UUCCCCUAGUAACUGCGAGUGAAGCGGGAAAAGCUCAAAUUUAAAAUCUGGCAGUCUUUGGCUGUCCGAGUUGUAAUCUAGAGAAGUAUUAUCCGCGCUGGACCGUGUACAAGUCUCCUGGAAUGGGGCGUCAUAGAGGGUGAGAAUCCCGUCUUUGACAUGGACUGCCAGGGCUUUGUGAUGUGCUCUCAAAGAGUCGAGUUGUUUGGGAAUGCAGCUCAAAAUGGGUGGUAAAUUCCAUCUAAAGCUAAAUAUUGGCGAGAGACCGAUAGCGAACAAGUACCGUGAGGGAAAGAUGAAAAGAACUUUGGAAAGAGAGUUAAACAGUACGUGAAAUUGCUGAAAGGGAAACGCUUGAAGUCAGUCGCGUUGGCCAGGGAUCAACCUUGCUUUUUUGCUUGGCUUACUUUCUGGUCGAUGGGUCAGCAUCAAUUUUGACCGGUGGAAAAAGUUCAAGGGAAUGUGGCAUCUUCGGAUGUGUUAUAGCCUUUGUUCGCAUACAUUGGUUGGGAUUGAGGAACUCAGCACGCCGCAAGGCCGGGUUUUUAACCACGUACGUGCUUAGGAUGCUGGCAUAAUGGCUUUAAUCGACCCGUCUUGAAACACGGACCAAGGAGUCUAACAUGCCUGCGAGUGUUUGGGUGAAAAACCCGAGCGCGUAAUGAAAGUGAAAGUUGAGAUCCCUGUCGUAGGGAGCAUUGACGCCCGGAUCUGACCUUUUGUGACGAUUCUGCGGUAGAGCAUGUAUGUUGGGACCCGAAAGAUGGUGAACUAUGCCUGAAUAGGGUGAAGCCAGAGGAAACUCUGGUGGAGGCUCGUAGCGAUUCUGACGUGCAAAUCGAUCGUCAAAUUUGGGUAUAGGGGCGAAAGACU
Molecule: ribosomal RNA, 873 nt
Filed under: Laccaria amethystina
Lineage: Eukaryota; Fungi; Basidiomycota; Agaricomycetes; Agaricales; Hydnangiaceae
Description: eukaryotic LSU rRNA
Rfam family: Eukaryotic large subunit ribosomal RNA
Source: RNAcentral